GGAGUUGUGGCUCAAUGGUAGAGCACUUGCCUGGCAUGUGUGAGGCCCUGGGUUCAAUCCUCAGCACCA
Molecule: transfer RNA, 69 nt
Filed under: Marmota monax (woodchuck)
Lineage: Eukaryota; Metazoa; Chordata; Mammalia; Rodentia; Sciuridae
Also listed under: 1 other name
Rfam family: tRNA
About the family: Transfer RNA (tRNA) molecules are approximately 80 nucleotides in length. Their secondary structure includes four short double-helical elements and three loops (D, anti-codon, and T loops). Further hydrogen bonds mediate the characteristic L-shaped molecular structure. tRNAs have two regions of fundamental functional importance: the anti-codon, which is responsible for specific mRNA codon recognition, and the 3' end, to which the tRNAs corresponding amino acid is attached (by aminoacyl-tRNA synthetases). tRNAs cope with the degeneracy of the genetic code in two manners: having more than one tRNA (with a specific anti-codon) for a particular amino acid; and 'wobble' base-pairing, i.e. permitting non-standard base-pairing at the 3rd anti-codon position.
Source: Rfam by way of RNAcentral